UCCAGCACCUUCCUUCCUUGUCUCCUUCUCUAGUCGCCUCCUACCCUCCCCUCCCCUCCCAGGCUCCGAGCUCCUCUCGGCUCAGAGGCCUCAUCAGGGCACCAGACACGCACCGUCGGCACGACGUCCAGGCCGCCCCCACACCGUCCGGGAGUUGCGCGUUUGGACGCCGGGGGGCAGCGACCCGUCCCUGAGAGCUGUGUCGCGGUGGGUGUUGCCUCCGAAGCGACGACCUCCACUUCCCGCGGUGGCCGGCAGGAUAUGGCACUGGUGGAGUCAAACCCCCUUCGUUCGAUGCUGGCACGCUAAGCCGCAUUGAGCUAUCACUCCCAAGGUGCCUGGCCGAGGGGGCUGCGCCGACCUGCCACCGUGGGGAUGUGCCGUGUUUGGACGCUGCCGACCCUUCAUUGUCACGGGCCCGCGUCCGUCUGCUAUGGCGUCCUCACCACCGAUUUUUUCGCCGACCUUGGAGCUGUGAGGCGCUUGCCCCACCCCAGCUCCAGUUGCCUCUGUUUUACUUCUGAUUUUUGGAGGCAGUUUUUGGUUGUCCAUGUGCAGAGAACGGCGGUUCAACUUGUUCUCGUCGGUGGAGAUGGGAUGCCCAAGAGCAUGGUCGAGGCGAUAUGGCAGACGAUGUGGCGUGUCUCAGAUGAUGACAGUGAUGGAUGGAUCUCCAAAAUGGUGCUCUCCGCCUGAGAAUUUCUAGGACCCGUUGUAGAUUGAAUGUCUUCGUUUUGCUCCUCCAUAUGUGUAUUAUUCAGAAAUGUCUGUAAUUUUAAGUUCUGUUGUAUUUUCCAUCAUUUGCAAAAUUGUGUUGGCUGAAAGUUUGCAUAGAACAAGAGAAAUAUGAGAUGGGCUAAUUUGUCGGCCAAAAUCAGUGGGCCA
Triticum dicoccoides is the source of this 885-nucleotide long non-coding RNA. RefSeq lists it as uncharacterized. The record is from RefSeq and is a predicted model, not a curated record. The transcript has 2 exons. Lineage: Eukaryota; Viridiplantae; Streptophyta; Magnoliopsida; Poales; Poaceae.